UGGGGAAUAUUGGACAAUGGGGGCAACCCUGAUCCAGCCAUGCCGCGUGAGUGAUGAAGGCCUUCGGGUUGUAAAGCUCUUUUGGCGGGGACGAUGAUGACGGUACCCGCAGAAUAAGCCCCGGCUAACUUCGUGCCAGCAGCCGCGGUAAGACGAAGGGGGCUAGCGUUGUUCGGAAUUACUGGGCGUAAGGCGCACGUAGGCGGAUAUUUAAGUCAGGGUGAAAUCCCAGAGCUCAACUCUGGAACUGCCUUUGAUACUGGGUAUCUUGAGUAUGGAAGAGGUAAGUGGAAUUGCGAGUGUAGAGGUGAAAUUCGUAGAUAUUCGCAGGAACACCAGUGGCGAAGGCGGUGGUCUGGGCCGGAACUGACGCUGAGGAGCGAAAGCGUGGGGAGCGAACAGGAUUAGAUACC
RNAcentral lists this ribosomal RNA (413 nucleotides) under uncultured bacterium. RNAcentral's name for it is "bacterial SSU rRNA". It matches the Rfam family "Bacterial small subunit ribosomal RNA", at positions 355 to 786 of the family's 1533-position model. The record is from RNAcentral.